UCCUCCCUCUGUCGGCGUGCUUAACACAUGCAAGUCGAACGGUGAAGCGCCUUCCUUUUUGGUGGGUGUGGAUGAGUGGCGAACGGGUGAGUAACACGUGAGUAACCUGCCCCCUUCUUCUGGAUAACCGCAUGAAAGUGUGGCUAAUACGGGAUAUUCUGGGUCUGUCGCAUGAUGGGUCUGGGAAAGAUAUUGUUUCGGUGGGGGAUGGGCUCGCGGCCUAUCAGCUUGUUGGUGGGGUGAUGGCCUACCAAGGCGGUGACGGGUAGCCGGCCUGAGAGGGUGGACUGUCACACUGGGACUGAGACACGGCCCAGACUCCUACGGGAGGCAGCAGUGGGGAAUAUUGCACAAUGGGCGCAAGCCUGAUGCAGCGACGCCGCGUGAGGGAUGGAGGCCUGCGGGUUGUGAACCUCUUUCGCCAGUGAAGCAGGCCUGCCUCGUUUGUGGGUGGGUUGACGGUAGCUGGAUAAGAAGCGCCGGCUAACUACGUG
Molecule: ribosomal RNA, 494 nt
Filed under: uncultured bacterium
Lineage: Bacteria
Description: partial 16S ribosomal RNA
Rfam family: Bacterial small subunit ribosomal RNA
Source: RNAcentral